Molecule: ribosomal RNA, 652 nt
Filed under: Rubrivivax benzoatilyticus
Lineage: Bacteria; Pseudomonadati; Pseudomonadota; Betaproteobacteria; Burkholderiales; Sphaerotilaceae
Description: bacterial SSU rRNA
Rfam family: Bacterial small subunit ribosomal RNA
Source: RNAcentral
UCGAACGGUAACAGGCCUUCGGGUGCUGACGAGUGGCGAACGGGUGAGUAAUGCAUCGGAACGUGCCCAGUAGUGGGGGAUAGCCCGGCGAAAGCCGGAUUAAUACCGCAUACGACCUACGGGUGAAAGGGGGGGAUCGCAAGACCUCUCGCUAUUGGAGCGGCCGAUGUCAGAUUAGGUAGUUGGUGGGGUAAAGGCCUACCAAGCCUGCGAUCUGUAGCUGGUCUGAGAGGACGACCAGCCACACUGGGACUGAGACACGGCCCAGACUCCUACGGGAGGCAGCAGUGGGGAAUUUUGGACAAUGGGCGCAAGCCUGAUCCAGCCAUGCCGCGUGCGGGAAGAAGGCCUUCGGGUUGUAAACCGCUUUUGUCAGGGAAGAAAUCUUCUGGGCUAAUACCUCGGGAGGAUGACGGUACCUGAAGAAUAAGCACCGGCUAACUACGUGCCAGCAGCCGCGGUAAUACGUAGGGUGCAAGCGUUAAUCGGAAUUACUGGGCGUAAAGCGUGCGCAGGCGGUUGUGCAAGACAGGUGUGAAAUCCCCGGGCUUAACCUGGGAACUGCACUUGUGACUGCACAGCUGGAGUGCGGCAGAGGGGGAUGGAAUUCCGCGUGUAGCAGUGAAAUGCGUAGAUAUGCGGAGGAACACCG